UGGCUGUGAUGAUCAAAAUUAUACCAUCAAACUUUGAGAGCUUUAAAAAGCUCGUUGAUGUAAAAAUAAUUACUGAUUUCUGAGCCU
This is a small nucleolar RNA of Papaver somniferum (opium poppy), 87 nucleotides long. RefSeq annotates it as small nucleolar RNA snoR116. The record is from RefSeq and is a predicted model, not a curated record. Lineage: Eukaryota; Viridiplantae; Streptophyta; Magnoliopsida; Ranunculales; Papaveraceae. The transcript has a single exon.